UUUUCGUCAAGAGAAGACUCGUCGUUGGGUGGUAGCAGAACUAGACAGCUGCCAAGAAACGGCAUGUUGUUUUGAAGUGGGCACGUAGCUUCUCUCAUCUCACGUCUCCUUUCUAAGACAACACAGGAGAGAACAAGAACAAGAAGAGAGCAAGAAAGACAACAUUUGUAGCUACAACAAGAUACAACGAUAAGGGAAACUAAGAAGAACAAGAAAGGUAUUUCAUUUGGCAUUUUGAUACAACCAGGCUUGUGGGAAAUUAAAGGUUCUGAGCAUUCAUGAGUAUCUGACAUAGCUAUAUCCAACGGUCCAAUAAGUGAUGGAUUGACUUGCUAAAGGAAAACUAUUUGUAGAAUUAUUUGGAAAAAUUUGAGUCCGAUUAAAUGGUCAGAUCUCUUGUUAUCUUUGUUAUAAGAUGCUAACCUAGUCUGAUGCAAACAGAUCUUCUCUUGGAUUUAGAAUUGUCAUCCUGGUCCAUAAAAGCAUCUAACAUGUCAUUCACAUAGUCUCUUUGGGUCAGAUCCCUAUAUGAUUGUGUUAGAUCCUCACUCGAAUACUCAACCUUCAAU
This is a long non-coding RNA of Populus euphratica (Euphrates poplar), 569 nucleotides long. RefSeq lists it as uncharacterized. Lineage: Eukaryota; Viridiplantae; Streptophyta; Magnoliopsida; Malpighiales; Salicaceae. The transcript has 2 exons. The record is from RefSeq and is a predicted model, not a curated record.